UUUAUGACNCUGGCGCGGCUUACACAUGCACGUCGANCGGUANCAGGAAGCAGCUUGCUGNUUCGCUGACGAGUGGCGGACGGGUGAGUAAUGUCUGGGAAACUGCCUGANGGAGGGGGAUAACUACUGGAAACGGUAGCUAAUACCGCAUAACGUCGCAAGACCAAAGAGGGGGACCUUNGGGCCUCUUGCCAUCGGAUGUGCCCAGAUGGGAUUAGCUAGUAGGUGGGGUAACGGCUCACCUAGGCGACGAUCCCUAGCUGGUCUGAGAGGAUGACCAGCCACACUGGAACUGAGACACGGUCCAGACUCCUACGGGAGGCAGCAGUGGGGAAUAUUGCACAAUGGGCGCAAGCCUGAUGCAGCCAUGCCGCGUGUAUGAAGAAGGCCUUCGGGUUGUAAAGUACUUUCAGCGGGGAGGAAGGGAGUAAAGUUAAUACCUUUGCUCAUUGACGUUACCCGCAGAAGAAGCACCGGCUAACUCCGUGCCACACCCCGGGG
RNAcentral lists this ribosomal RNA (501 nucleotides) under anaerobic bacterium MT1. Its description in RNAcentral is "bacterial SSU rRNA". It matches the Rfam family "Bacterial small subunit ribosomal RNA", at positions 33 to 520 of the family's 1533-position model. The record is from RNAcentral.